GAUGAACGCUGGCGGCGUGCCUAAUACAUGCAAGUCGAGCGAACAGACGAUGAGCUUGCUCCUCUGACGUUAGCGGCGGACGGGUGAGUAACACGUGGAUAACCUACCUAUAAGACUGGGAUAACUUCGGGAAACCGGAGCUAAUACCGGAUAAUAUAUUGAACCGCAUGGUUCAAUAGUGAAAGACGGUUUUGCUGUCACUUAUAGAUGGAUCCGCGCCGCAUUAGCUAGUUGGUAAGGUAACGGCUUACCAAGGCAACGAUGCGUAGCCGACCUGAGAGGGUGAUCGGCCACACUGGAACUGAGACACGGUCCAGACUCCUACGGGAGGCAGCAGUAGGGAAUCUUCCGCAAUGGGCGAAAGCUUGACGGAGCAACGCCGCGUGAGUGAUGAAGGUCUUCGGAUCGUAAAACUCUGUUAUUAGGGAAGAAAAACUGUGUAAGUAACUAUGCACGUCUUGACGGUACCUAAUCAGAAAGCCACGGCUAACUACGUG
This 497-nucleotide ribosomal RNA is filed under the name uncultured bacterium. RNAcentral describes it as "partial 16S ribosomal RNA". It matches the Rfam family "Bacterial small subunit ribosomal RNA", at positions 28 to 507 of the family's 1533-position model. The record is from RNAcentral.